Molecule: unclassified non-coding RNA, 246 nt
Filed under: uncultured fungus
Lineage: Eukaryota; Fungi
Description: partial contains 5.8S ribosomal RNA, internal transcribed spacer 2, and large subunit ribosomal RNA
Source: RNAcentral
AACGCACAUUGCGCCCAUUAGUAUUCUAGCGGGCAUGCCUGUUCGAGCGUCAUUUCAACCCUCAAGCACUGCUUGGUGUUGGGGCCCUAUAGUAAGCUAUAGGCCCUGUAACUCAGUGGCGGAUCUGCUAUAAUCCUGAGCGUAGUAACAACAUCGCUUUUGGGUAUUAUGGGCAGCUUACAGCCGUUAAACACCCCACUUUAUAAGGUUGACCUCGGAUCAGGUAGGAAUACCCGCUGAACUUAA